GAUGAACGCUGGCGGCGUGCCUAAUACAUGCAAGUCGAGCGAACAGACGAGGAGCUUGCUCCUCUCACGUUAGCGGCGGACGGGUGAGUAACACGUGGAUAACCUACCUAUAAUACGGGUAUAACUUCGGGAAACCGGAGCUAAUACCGGAGAAGAUAUUGAACCGCAUGGUGCAAUAGUGAAAGACGGUUUUGCUGGCAGUUCUAGCUGGUUCCCCGCCGCAUUGGGUGGUUGGUAAGUUAACGGCUUACCAAGGCAACGAUGCGUAGACGAACUGAGGGGGUGGUAGCCCACACUGGAACUGAGCCAGGGUCAAGACGACUACGGGAGGCAGCAGUCGCGAACGUGACGCAACAGGCGAAAGCCUGACGGAGCGGCGGCACGUGAGAGAUAGAGGUCUUGGGAUCGUAAAGCUGUGUUAUUGGGGAAAAACCACUGUGUCAGUAACUAUGGACGUCUUGACGGUAACUAGUAAGAAAGCCACGGCUAACUACGUG
This 497-nucleotide ribosomal RNA is filed under the name uncultured bacterium. Its description in RNAcentral is "partial 16S ribosomal RNA". It matches the Rfam family "Bacterial small subunit ribosomal RNA", at positions 28 to 507 of the family's 1533-position model. The record is from RNAcentral.